CCACUAAGCAGAAGAUAUACCGUGAUCAAGAAGCUGGUUCACCCGGUGUGGGGCUCAGCCAUUCCACUCUGGCUGUGCUGUGCUGACCCCUUGUGAAUUUUCCUAAAUGUGGGAAUCUCAAUUGCAAAAUUUAUGGUAGUGCUCGUUUGCGCUUUA
Small nuclear RNA from Salvelinus namaycush (lake trout), 156 nucleotides. RefSeq annotates it as U1 spliceosomal RNA. Lineage: Eukaryota; Metazoa; Chordata; Actinopteri; Salmoniformes; Salmonidae. The record is from RefSeq and is a predicted model, not a curated record. The transcript has a single exon.